This 26-nucleotide non-coding RNA is filed under the name Bos taurus (domestic cattle). Lineage: Eukaryota; Metazoa; Chordata; Mammalia; Artiodactyla; Bovidae. The record is from RNAcentral. RNAcentral also lists the same sequence under 1 other name.
UUGUAAACAGGAGAUCCUGGGUUCGA